GUUAGGACCUGGUGAUGACUGUAGAGCCUUCAGCAUGGGUUCAGACCCCCUCUCUGCCUUGGUUAGGGCCUGGUGAUGACCGUAGAACCUUCAGCAUGGGUUCAGACCCCCUCUCUACCUUGGUUAGGGCCUGGGAUGACCGUAGAGCCUUCAGCAUGUAUAUAUACAAUGAACCUAUACACACCACAUAAACAAAUGAUUGGAUGUCAAUGGGGUAAAACCUACAGAUGGAAACAGUGACUCACGACACAGCACAGACCUACAGCAUGAGGAUUGUUCUGACACAAAACAGAGGGGUCUUCACAAAUAAUCAUAAUAAUAAUAAUAAUAAUAACAAUAAUAAUAAUAAUAAUAAUGUUGAAUCUGUACAGUUUAAAUAGUAUCUCCUUUAAAUAGUUAAAUUGUUUGCAUAUCUUUAUGGAUAAAAUGUCAAUGUAAUCAAUUAUACAAAAACAAUUAUAACAUUAAUAUGAAUUUUCUUUGUUUAUUGUUGUUUUUAAAUCAGAAAACAUAAGUGUGUUUAUAGCAGAAACAACUACUUAAAUGUCCUAUUUGAGUCAAACGAAAGACACCUUAAUCGAAAAUGACUUGAGUAUAAGUGAAAAUCACCCAGUAAAAUAGUACUUGAGUCAAAGUAUCUGUUUUUAAAAUGUACUUUAAGUACAAUGGUGGGAAAAAGUAUGAAACUGGUGGGAUAAAGCAAAGAAUAUAAAUCAAACUCCUGACGGUAUGAUUUUCUCUUAAGUUUUUUUUUAAAUUUACGGAUAGCCAGGGGCUCCAACACUCAGAAGAGAUUUACAAACGCACUGUGUGUGUGUUUAGUGAGUCCUCCAGAUCAGAGGCAGUAGGGAUGACCAGGGAUGUUCUCUGUUUAGUGAGUCCUCCAGAUCAGAGGCAGUAGGGAUGACCAGGGAUGUUCUCUGUUUAGUGAGUCCUCCAGGUCAGAGGCAGUAGGGAUGACCAGGGAUGUUCUCUGUUUAGUGAGUCCUCCAGAUUAGAGGCAGUAGGGACGACCAGGGAUGUUCUCUGUUUAGUGAGUCCACCAGAUCAGAGGCAGUAGGGAUGACCAGGGAUGUUCUCUGUUUAGUGAGUCCUCCAGAUUAGAGGCAGUAGGGACGACAACACCUGCUCUUGAUAAGUGUGUGAAUGGGACCAUAGUGCUGUCCUGCUUGAGAAUGCUAAAUGUAACGAGUACUUUUGGGUGUCAGGGGGAAAUAUAUGAGAAUAAAAAGUACAUUAUUUUCUUUUGGAAUGUAGUGAGGUAAAAAUAAAAGUUGUCAAAAAAUAUAAAUAGUAAAGUACAGAUACCCCCCCCCCAAAAAAAUACUUGAGUAGUACAUUAAAGUAUCAUUAUUUGUUUUACUUAAGUACUUUAAACCACUGCAGUUCAGAAAAUACUUAUUUACUUAUUGGUAAACCCCCCAAAAACAGCACACACACCUAGGGGUAAUAAAUCUAACAGCCCUUCUCCAGGUUUGUACCCGUUGAUUUGAUUACCACCGUGGCCUCCAGCCAACGAAUGAACCAGUUUAUUUUAAGGGAAAAUGACAGAGAUGUUUAUACCGAUCGCUGAAAGAGUAUCUGUUAACCUUGUGUAUGGAACUGAAUUACUGGUAUACUCUCUAAAUGAAUGCAGUGAACUGGGAUGUGAAUUACUGGUAUACUCUCUAAAUGAAUGCAGUGAACUGGGAUGUGAAUUAC
Molecule: long non-coding RNA, 1701 nt
Organism: Oncorhynchus tshawytscha (Chinook salmon)
Lineage: Eukaryota; Metazoa; Chordata; Actinopteri; Salmoniformes; Salmonidae
Source: Ensembl